CUACGGGGGGCUGCAGUGGGGAAUAUUGGACAAUGGGGGAAACCCUGAUCCAGCAAUGCCGCGUGUGUGAAGAAGGCCUGCGGGUUGUAAAGCACUUUCGGUUGGGAGGACUGCUUCUAGCACUAAUAUUGUUGGAAGUUGACGUUACCUUCAGAAGAAGCACCGGCUAACUCCGUGCCAGCAGCCGCGGUAAUACGGAGGGUGCAAGCGUUAAUCGGAAUUACUGGGCGUAAAGCGCGCGUAGGCGGCUAGAUCAGUCGGGUGUGAAAGCCCCGGGCUUAACCUGGGAACUGCAUCCGAUACUGUCUAGCUUGAGUACAGGAGAGGAGAGUGGAAUUCCACAUGUAGCGGUGAAAUGCGUAGAUAUGUGGAGGAACACCAAUGGCGAAGGCAGCUCUCUGGCCUGAUACUGACGCUGAGGUGCGAAAGCGUGGGGGAGCAAACAGGAUUAGAUACCCGGGUAGUC
RNAcentral lists this ribosomal RNA (466 nucleotides) under uncultured bacterium. RNAcentral's name for it is "partial 16S ribosomal RNA". It matches the Rfam family "Bacterial small subunit ribosomal RNA", at positions 339 to 795 of the family's 1533-position model. The record is from RNAcentral.